This 578-nucleotide ribosomal RNA is filed under the name Trigonopterus gedensis. RNAcentral describes it as "SSU rRNA". It matches the Rfam family "Eukaryotic small subunit ribosomal RNA", at positions 23 to 579 of the family's 1831-position model. Lineage: Eukaryota; Metazoa; Arthropoda; Insecta; Coleoptera; Curculionidae. The record is from RNAcentral.
GUCAUAUGCUUGUCUCAAAGAUUAAGCCAUGCAUGUCUCAGUACAAGCCGAAUUAAGGUGAAACCGCGAAAGGCUCAUUAAAUCAGUUAUGGUUCCUUAGAUCGUACCCACAAUUACUUGGAUAACUGUGGUAAUUCUAGAGCUAAUACAUGCAAACAGAGCUCCGACCGGAGACGGAAGGAGUGCUUUUAUUAGAUCAAAACCAAUCGGUGGCGGGUUCGCUCGUUAUCGUACAACUUGGUGACUCUGAAUAACUUUACGCUGAUCGCACGGUCAUCGCACCGGCGACGCAUCUUUCAAAUGUCUGCCUUAUCAACUGUCGAUGGUAGGUUCUGCGCCUACCAUGGUUGUAACGGGUAACGGGGAAUCAGGGUUCGAUUCCGGAGAGGGAGCCUGAGAAACGGCUACCACAUCCAAGGAAGGCAGCAGGCGCGCAAAUUACCCACUCCCGGCACGGGGAGGUAGUGACGAAAAAUAACGAUACGGGACUCAUCCGAGGCCCCGUAAUCGGAAUGAGUACACUCUAAACCCUUUAACGAGGAUCAAUUGGAGGGCAAGUCUGGUGCCAGCAGCCGCGG